RNAcentral lists this long non-coding RNA (390 nucleotides) under Rattus norvegicus (Norway rat). Its description in RNAcentral is "long non-coding RNA NONRATT006255". Lineage: Eukaryota; Metazoa; Chordata; Mammalia; Rodentia; Muridae. The record is from RNAcentral.
UAAAGUUUAGAUCUGACUCAGCCGAGGACACCUUCACACACUCAGCAGUGUUCAGCCAGCCUGUGGCAGCCCAUGCAGGGCUGGCCAGGGCCUGGGCCUAAGCCCUGCGCAGCUGAUGUUCCUCCCCCCCGGGGCAGGUCUGAACGGGAUGAACAGCAGCAUCUGGGAGCAUUUUGCCUCUGGAAGCUUCUCCCCAGGCACUUCCCCUGCCUUCCUAUCAGGGCCAGGGGCUGCUGAGCUGGCCCGGCUUCGGCAAGAGCUAGAUGAAGCUAACGGCACCAUCAAGCAGUGGGAGGAGUCCUGGAAGCAGGCCAAGCAGGCUUGUGAUGCCUGGAAGAAGGAAGCCGAGGAGGCCGGAGAGCGGGCCAGUGCAGCUGGAGCAGAGUGUGA